Molecule: long non-coding RNA, 313 nt
Filed under: Brassica napus (rape)
Lineage: Eukaryota; Viridiplantae; Streptophyta; Magnoliopsida; Brassicales; Brassicaceae
Description: long non-coding RNA (BNAP_LNC005401)
Source: RNAcentral
GAGCAGUUUUGAAUUUUAACUAACGGAAACACAAAGAAUGAAAAAGUUAUAAACAUUUUUAAGAAGGUGACAUUUAUUUUCAAAAGAUAAAAAGAAGUAAUAAUAAAAAGUGUUUUUGUCUAGUUGAAAAGUAUGACCCAUGAUCUUACUCAUGCAUAAUUACACAAGUAGGACCUUAACUCCUUUUCCACAUUUUGAUUUAUAAAUAGACGGCAUAUAUUUUUAAUUGUAUAGUAGAUUCUGAUCCGCAUUUUAGAAAAUCAGAAUUAUAUUUAAACAAAAUUUUUAAUUUUUAAUAUAUAAUAAUUUUAGA